Long non-coding RNA from Pseudophryne corroboree (corroboree frog), 380 nucleotides. RefSeq lists it as uncharacterized. Lineage: Eukaryota; Metazoa; Chordata; Amphibia; Anura; Myobatrachidae. The record is from RefSeq and is a predicted model, not a curated record. The transcript has 2 exons.
GUUUAUUUUGUUCCUAUGGUGACGGUUUCACUCCCCCCGCCCCGUGCCCCUGUGACGGAUCCUGGGCGCCGGCGGCUGCCGAUGACGUCAUGUGGACUCCGGAGCAGGCGGCUGCGGCGGUUCCUGAUGCACGUGGUUGCAGCCCUCUCCAUCAGAUAGGAAACCUCUAAAUGUUGUUUCAGGAGUACAAGUAGAUGAUCUGGAAUGGACAAGCUGCCUAGUAGUGCUAUGUGGUGACUGCUCUAUUAAUGAGACUUGGACUGUCAUUUAGAAGAUUCCCAUCUGAUGAAUCGUGCCAUUUAUUUAUAUUAUUGCAAACUCGAACAUCCUUUAUGAUAACUCAAGUACUCCAGUGAAAAUAAAAGACAAUUGAACUGUUA